GAUGAACGCUGGCGGCGUGCCUAAUACAUGCAAGUCGAGCGAACAGAUGAGGAGCUUGCUCCUCUGACGUUAGCGGCGGACGGGUGAGUAACACGUGGAUAACCUACCUAUAAGACUGGGAUAACUUCGGGAAACCGGAGCUAAUACCGGAUAAUAUAUUGAACCGCAUGGUUCAAUAGUGAAAGACGGUUUUGCUGUCACUUAUAGAUGGAUCCGCGCCGCAUUAGCUAGUUGGUAAGGUAACGGCUUACCAAGGCAACGAUGCGUAGCCAACCUGAGAGCGUGAUCGGCCACACUGGAACUGAGACACGGUCCAGACUCCUACGGGAGGCAGCAGUAGGGAAUCUUCCGCAAUGAGCGAAAGCCUGACGGAGCAACGCCGCGUGAGUGAUGAAGGGCUUCGGAUCGUAAAACUCUGUUAUGAGGGAAGAACAAAUGUGUAAGUAACUAUGCACGUCUUGACGGUACCUAAUCAGAAAGACACGGCUAACUACGUG
This 497-nucleotide ribosomal RNA is filed under the name uncultured bacterium. Its description in RNAcentral is "partial 16S ribosomal RNA". It matches the Rfam family "Bacterial small subunit ribosomal RNA", at positions 28 to 507 of the family's 1533-position model. The record is from RNAcentral.